AGAAAAAAUUGUGUUAUCAUCACUUAUGCUAUACUACCAUGUGUUCUUAAUGAUGUCAGGAGAGAUCUCAAGGAUCCACUAAUCCUGAAGAAGCUAAAAGACCACAAUAUUACUGUAAUUGAAUUACCACAAGAAGAAGAAGAUUUUGAUGGCAAGGAAGAAGUUAUACAUGCCACAUCAUCUGAGGAAAACAUUCCCACCACAAGCACUACUUUG
Molecule: long non-coding RNA, 216 nt
Organism: Amphimedon queenslandica
Lineage: Eukaryota; Metazoa; Porifera; Demospongiae; Haplosclerida; Niphatidae
Exons: 3
Source: RefSeq, a predicted model, not a curated record